This 113-nucleotide non-coding RNA is filed under the name Paramoeba aestuarina. The record is from RNAcentral. Lineage: Eukaryota; Discosea; Flabellinia; Dactylopodida; Paramoebidae.
CAUCUUCUCCUUUACCUUCGCCUUCUCCCUAUGAUACUUCUCGUUUUUGUCUCCCAAAACUCCCUCCUUCUUCCCCUUCUCCUGCUUCCUCUCCCUCGGCUGCCACCUUUUCU